Long non-coding RNA from Quercus lobata, 589 nucleotides. RefSeq lists it as uncharacterized. The record is from RefSeq and is a predicted model, not a curated record. NCBI's taxonomy places the organism in Eukaryota, Viridiplantae, Streptophyta, Magnoliopsida, Fagales, Fagaceae. The transcript is spliced from 2 exons.
GCCGCAAAACAAAACAAAGUCAUCUCUGAAAAAAUAGUUAUAUCCACCUCGAAUCUUCUCAGCUCAUUCCCCUGAAAAAACAAGUGCAAUUCUUGGGAAUUCCCGAAAAGGGGGUAGCACUGCUCCAAAACUUAAUUUUCCUGCACGAACCUUCUUGGCUCGUUUAUACUUGACACCUAGUUAGUUUAUAAGUAGAAAGCUCCACUACCCAUGACCAAGAAACAAAAGCUUUAUUCCGAGAAAAUCAUCACCAUGGCUCACACUUUUACUAAUCCCCCACCCCCACAGCCUCCUCCUGGUUCUUGCACUUUUUUUUGACGGUGACAGCAAGUGGCUGCUGGCUUUCAAAGUGGUUACUCUCCUAAUCCUCUUCUUGACACUCAUUCGUUGUUUUAGCGAGUGUUUGACCAAAUUUGGUUAGCCCUGCUUGGCUGUUUAGUUUACUUUGUAAUAAACUUUGAUGGGAGGGUGUGCGGUUUGUUGACAGUUGCACUGCCUGUGAUGCUUUGGCUUGCUUUGUUUAGCUUCUCUGUAAGCUUAGUUUGAGUGUAAUAAUAACUAAUAACUGGGAGGUUAUCCAGUUAUCCUA